GAGUUUAUAUAUAGGCGGGUAUAUAUAUGUGCGUGUGUCUGCAAGUCAAGUCGUAGAAUUCAUCGAUUUUCUUUCUGGAUCGCUCGCUCGGUCGAUCACUCGCGUCUGUGAUUUUCCGGAGUAGCUAAUUUUUGGUGGGCGGAUAGAGGAGGACGAAUGAUGAAGAGCAAUUCGGAGAAAAGGGAAUUUGGAAAAAAAACUGGUGUCUGGGUUCUUUGAGCAGAAAAGCUACUUCUCUAGGUGACUUGAUGUGGCGGUGAUAUCUAUCACUUGAACCUCUAUCCAAAAGAAACCAAUCAAUUGGGAUGGUUGGUUCUUCUUGAUUAUGUCAUUUACACUUUUCAUAAGAGCAACGGUACGCUUUUCAUGGUUCCACAACCAGUAUCUUAUUUCUCAUUACCUUUUUUUCUACUUCGGUCUAGUGUGACUUCCUGAGAUGUAGAAAUAAAAACAAUAUAUGGAUAAAGGAACAGAUCAACAACCUGAGGUUAUUCAUAAAAAUUAAGGUAAUCUUGAUUUUAUGUUUAUCUGCAAUUUUUCAAUCGGAGAAUGAAUUUCUGUAUGUUCCACCUCGACUAA
Molecule: long non-coding RNA, 579 nt
Organism: Cornus florida
Lineage: Eukaryota; Viridiplantae; Streptophyta; Magnoliopsida; Cornales; Cornaceae
Exons: 3
Source: RefSeq, a predicted model, not a curated record